Cavia aperea (Brazilian guinea pig) is the source of this 101-nucleotide unclassified non-coding RNA. Its record names the gene Vault. It matches the Rfam family "Vault RNA". Rfam says of the family: This family of RNAs are found as part of the enigmatic vault ribonucleoprotein complex. Lineage: Eukaryota; Metazoa; Chordata; Mammalia; Rodentia; Caviidae. The record is from Ensembl.
GGGCUGGCUUUAACCCAGUGGUUCCUCCGAGUCUGGCUUCCCAACCGCCUGGGCAGAUUGGUCCAGUGGUUCCAGACCCACGGAAGCUCUUCAGUUCUUUA